AGCAGGCGCGAAAUCUUUACAAUGCGGGAAACCGCGAUAAGGGGACACCGAGUGCCAGCAUUUAUGUUGGCUGUCCACAUGUGUAAACGGCAUGUGUUAGCAAGGGCCGGGCAAGACCGGUGCCAGCCGCCGCGGUAACACCGGCGGCCCGAGUGGUAAUCACUUUUAUUGGGUCUAAAGGGUCCGUAGCCGGUUUGAUCAGUUCUUCGGGAAAUCUGACAGCUCAACUGUUAGGCUUCCGGGGAAUACUGUCAGACU
This 258-nucleotide ribosomal RNA is filed under the name uncultured methanogenic archaeon. Its description in RNAcentral is "partial 16S ribosomal RNA". It matches the Rfam family "Archaeal small subunit ribosomal RNA", at positions 334 to 593 of the family's 1478-position model. The record is from RNAcentral. Lineage: Archaea; Methanobacteriati; Methanobacteriota.